RNAcentral lists this ribosomal RNA (274 nucleotides) under uncultured bacterium. RNAcentral describes it as "partial 16S ribosomal RNA". It matches the Rfam family "Bacterial small subunit ribosomal RNA", at positions 523 to 796 of the family's 1533-position model. The record is from RNAcentral.
AUACGGAGGGUCCGAGCGUUAUCCGGAAUCAUUGGGUUUAAAGGGUCCGUAGGCGGGAAUCUAAGUCAGUGGUGAAAUCUUGCAGCUCAACUGUAAGAUUGCCAUUGAUACUGGAUUUCUUGAAUUAGUGUGAAGUGGUUAGAAUGUGUAGUGUAGCGGUGAAAUGCAUAGAUAUUACACAGAAUACCAAUUGCGAAGGCAGAUCACUAACACUAUAUUGACGCUAAGGGACGAAAGCGUGGGGAGCGAACAGGAUUAGAAACCCUGGUAGUCC